UUCAUUUUAGAGUUUUUCUAUUUGAAUCGUUCGUGCUAUCAACGUUUCUGUUUCCAGUUAUCUAAAUAUGAUCUGGUUACCCUAAAAAGACAGUAAAAUUUUUUGCAUAUGUCCUCUACUUUAUCUUAAUUUUUGUGCACGGUCUUAUUUAGGUCUAAAGUUACAAUGGCGGCGCAAGAUCCAUCAUGACUUAUAUAUGCUAACUUUUCCAUUAAUUGUAUUAGUUGUACGGGCUUCCAUGGUGCGUCAACCAUUGCUCAAGCCGGCCGUCUUGCAUGCCUUUCUUCUGACGGUUUUGAGUAUCAACCCGAAACCGCCUUAAUCUUCCUGGUUACUUCAUUCCUUACUUGGCAGCACAAGAUGGGCCAAUUCACUCUGGAAAUAAGCAGUUUGAUUUUAUAAUGAACGCGCUUCUAUCAAUGAACAUGGUGGUGACACUCUUGGUGGCGACAAUACUAGACAACACCGUACUGAGCAGUCAACAGGAACGGGGUGUGUACCGUUGGUCAACUUCUGAUGACCUGUCAUCUGAUCCAUCUUCUCUCGAUGACUAUAAAUUACCAAGCAAAGUUUCUCGUGUUUUCAUAUUGGCAAAGUGUUUGGAUGCAUGACCUUACAUAGUCAAUAGUCAAUUUUGUGCGUGCCACCUCAGCAUAAUCCUACAUCUCGAACAGGUGGAUGGAUACAUGUAUACAAAAUAUGAUCAAUAUAGUGGACACAUUGUUCUUCAGAUGGUGAUUUCACCAAUGUAGCUGAUUUAACUUUGUCUAACCGAGAUUCAAGCUCGUUACACAUGUGAUGGAUAGAAAGGUGCACCCAUACACAUUUCGCAAUGAAGACCGGUACUUGCAUUUCAACUUCAGUCAAGACCCUUAUGUGGAAUUUGAUUACUAGAUAAACACGAUAGGAGUUGACAGGCUUUUUACCGAUUUUCCUGGUAGCCUCCACCAUUACCAGGAAUGGACCUCUUCACCUUCCGAUAAGCUCGUUGCCGACAAACUAUGGAAUGAAAUGGUUAUGUGAAA
Long non-coding RNA from Helianthus annuus (common sunflower), 1025 nucleotides. RefSeq lists it as uncharacterized. The record is from RefSeq and is a predicted model, not a curated record. Lineage: Eukaryota; Viridiplantae; Streptophyta; Magnoliopsida; Asterales; Asteraceae. The transcript has 5 exons.